UAGGGAAUAUUGGUAAUGGGCGAAAGCCUGAACCAGCAACGCCGCGUGUGCGAUGAAGGCCUUCGGGUCGUAAAGCACUUUUUGGAGGGAUGAGGAAGGACAGUACCUCCAGAAUAAGCCUCGGCUAACUACGUGCCAGCAGCCGCGGUAACACGUAGGAGGCAAGCGUUAUUCGGAUUUACUGGGCGUAAAGCGCGUGCAGGCGGUUCGGAAAGUUGGAUGUGAAAGCUCCUGGCUUAACUGGGAGAGGUCGUUCAAUACUUCCGGACUUGAGAGUGGGAGAGGGGGGUGGAAUUCCGGGUGUAGUGGUGAAAUGCGUAGAUAUCCGGAGGAACACCAGUGGCGAAAGCGGCCUCCUGGCCCAUUUCUGACGCUCAGACGCGAAAGCU
RNAcentral lists this ribosomal RNA (389 nucleotides) under uncultured bacterium. RNAcentral's name for it is "bacterial SSU rRNA". It matches the Rfam family "Bacterial small subunit ribosomal RNA", at positions 355 to 761 of the family's 1533-position model. The record is from RNAcentral.